This is a non-coding RNA of Paramuricea clavata, 323 nucleotides long. The record is from the annotation of a GenBank genome assembly. Lineage: Eukaryota; Metazoa; Cnidaria; Anthozoa; Malacalcyonacea; Plexauridae.
AAACUAUGUAAUGGUAAAUCGAGAGCAGUAGGUGUCUAACUUCAAAUUACCUACAUUAAACAGAGCGAAUAAUGAAUUUGUUUCUUUGUCUAAAAGUACUAAUUAACACUACACACAUACACUAUAUAGGAUAAGACAAUCUUGUGGUAAAAUCGUGAGCAAGUGUUGGUUGAGAUCAAAAGUAUAAAUCGCUGUGUAUAGUGAGUUAUCCAACAACCUAAAGAUAUAGAAAAAACGUUGCGAGCAAAUUUCCUUUAUCAAGAAGUCAGUUGGUUAGGGACCGAUCGUUUAUUACGUCUCAGGGUGGGGCGGUGGUUUUUGAG